Molecule: non-coding RNA, 99 nt
Organism: Acanthosepion pharaonis
Lineage: Eukaryota; Metazoa; Mollusca; Cephalopoda; Sepiida; Sepiidae
Source: the annotation of a GenBank genome assembly
GUUGAAACACCGGUUCCCAUACGAACAGCGAAGUUAAACAACGUCGAUCCCGGUCAGUAUGUAGACGGGUGACCGCUUGGGAAUAUCAGGUGGCGUAAG